GACGAACGCUGGCGGCGCGCCUAACACAUGCAAGUCGAGCGAGAACCAGGGCUUCGGCCCUGGGGACAGCGGCGAACGGGUGAGUAACACGUGGGUAACCUGCCCUCGGCACCGGGAUAGCCCGGGGAAACUCGGAUUAAUACCGGACAGCCUCAUGAGCCCUCGGGCGAAUGAGAAAAGGUGGCUUCGGCUUCCGGCUGAGGAUGGGCCCGCGGCCGAUUAGCUUGUUGGUGGGGUAACGGCUCACCAAGGCUCCGAUCGGUAGCUGGUCUGAGAGGACGAUCAGCCACACUGGGACUGAGACACGGCCCAGACUCCUACGGGAGGCAGCAGUGGGGAAUCUUGCGCAAUGGGCGAAAGCCUGACGCAGCGACGCCGCGUGCGGGAAGAAGGCCUCGGUGUAACG
Molecule: ribosomal RNA, 406 nt
Filed under: uncultured bacterium
Lineage: Bacteria
Description: bacterial SSU rRNA
Rfam family: Bacterial small subunit ribosomal RNA
Source: RNAcentral